This 183-nucleotide ribosomal RNA is filed under the name Bacillus cereus. Its description in RNAcentral is "partial 16S ribosomal RNA". It matches the Rfam family "Bacterial small subunit ribosomal RNA", at positions 1 to 176 of the family's 1533-position model. The record is from RNAcentral. Lineage: Bacteria; Bacillati; Bacillota; Bacilli; Caryophanales; Bacillaceae.
CUUUAUUGGAGAGUUUGAUCCUGGCUCAGGAUGAACGCUGGCGGCGUGCCUAAUACAUGCAAGUCGAGCGAAUGGAUUAAGAGCUUGCUCUUAUAAAGUUAGCGGCGGACGGGUGAGUAACACGUGGGUAACCUGCCCAUAAGACUGGGAUAACUCCGGGAAACCGGGGCUAAUACCGGAUAA